GCUUUCUCCACUUUAGCCUCACUACACACCGUUGCUUCUGUUCUACAGGCGAAUUGCACGGUUGCCAGCUAUAGAAAACAGUAUCCCCAGAACAGAACAUCCAAUUUCGUGGAGGCAAGAUUUAGUAAUGAUGGUGAUCAAAGUCAUAGCAGCUGGGAGCUACAAGUUUCAAAAUGGGCAGCAAAAGAAGACCAAGUAGGGGAGAAGGGAAAAGUGUUUCUUUUAAAGAAGCCUGUAAGCUGAUCUUGGGGAGAAAGGAGAAAGUCCUGGAACCGCUAGUAAAUACAUGGAGAAGACAGCCUAGGUUGCAGCAAGCAAAUUUAUAUUGGACCAAAGAGAGAAAAAUAUGCACAUAUGCUAGCAUUGGCUUAACACGCAGAGGCCCAGUCUUUUCUAAACUCUUCAUGGGAAGAAGCCAACUCUGCAGCUUUGCCUCCCACAG
Long non-coding RNA from Mustela lutreola (European mink), 442 nucleotides. RefSeq lists it as uncharacterized. The transcript has 4 exons. The record is from RefSeq and is a predicted model, not a curated record. NCBI's taxonomy places the organism in Eukaryota, Metazoa, Chordata, Mammalia, Carnivora, Mustelidae.